AACCUUUAGUUGGUUAAUGCUACACCAACACACCAGGCUUUUUCCUGUGGAGUUAUUAUGAGCGAUAAAAUUAUUCACCUGACAGA
This 86-nucleotide small RNA is filed under the name Citrobacter gillenii. RNAcentral describes it as "TrxA 5' UTR thermometer". The record is from RNAcentral. Lineage: Bacteria; Pseudomonadati; Pseudomonadota; Gammaproteobacteria; Enterobacterales; Enterobacteriaceae.